This 497-nucleotide ribosomal RNA is filed under the name uncultured bacterium. RNAcentral's name for it is "partial 16S ribosomal RNA". It matches the Rfam family "Bacterial small subunit ribosomal RNA", at positions 28 to 507 of the family's 1533-position model. The record is from RNAcentral.
GAUGAACGCUGGCGGCGUGCCUAAUACAUGCAAGUCGAGCGAACGGACGAGAAGCUUGCUUCUCUGAUGUUAGCGGCGGACGGGUGAGUAACACGUGGAUAACCUACCUAUCAGGCUGGGAUAACUUCGGGAAACCGGAGCUAAUACCGGAUGAUAUUUUGAACCGCAUGGUUCAAAAGUGAAAGACGGUCUUGCUGUCACUUAUAGAUGGAUCCGCGCUGCAUUAGCUAGUUGGUAAGGUAACGGCUUACCAAGGCAACGAGGCAUAGCCGACCUGAGAGGGGGAUAGGCCACACUGGAGGUGGGACACGGUCCAGACUCCUACGGGAGGCAGCAGUAGGGAAUCUUCCGCAAUGGGCGAAAGCCUGACGGAGCAACGCCGCGUGAGUGAUGAAGGUCUUCGGAUCGUAAAACUCUGUUAUGAGGGAAGAACAGAUGUGUAAGUAACUGUGCACAUCUUGACGGUACCUAAUCAGAAAGCCACGGCUAACUACGUG